Molecule: non-coding RNA, 669 nt
Organism: Paramisgurnus dabryanus
Lineage: Eukaryota; Metazoa; Chordata; Actinopteri; Cypriniformes; Cobitidae
Source: RefSeq, a predicted model, not a curated record
AAAUCUCUGAAACCUCCUAUGAGGUCAAAUUAACAUUUGCUGUGAGUAACGUCAGCAUGCCAGUGGACAUUAAACAAAGAAACAGCACCUUAACACAUCUCCAGGAUGUUGUCAAUGUAGCGGUGAACACUCUUCUGAAUGAGCCUGGCAAAGCGUCUCUGCAACCCAACUCCUCCAGUUUCCUGUAAGAUUGAAAUUGAUUGCUGUCAAAGACAAUUUAGCAAAAAUGUCUUUGUAGAAAUAUCACAACAUUGAAGGAAAUUAAACAAAAUGCAUUAAAAUAGUCUAGAAACAUACUGACAAAGUUUUUCAUACACAUGUAUUUUAGCUUCUUAAAAAUUUAUUUUCUGUUCUUUUUCAGGAGCACACCAAACCAAAUUAAUGGCUCUUUGAAUUAUAUCAUCCGAGAUGGAGAUGCCAUACAACCAGUUAGCUUUCUACAAAAGCUUCAAUCGCUCAAGAUAUCGUCCACUACAUCAGCAUCACCACUGACAACAAGCAGCUCACCUGUUAAGUUUGUAUCUGGUUCAGCAGUGGUUACAAGCACACUGCAGUUCAACUCCUCAUCUCCAGUGCCCAGUCAGGAUCUGGUCCUCAAAGCUAUCGGUGAUCUAAGAAAAUCCAGAGAGUCACAACUCAAUGAAUCAGUCAAGCUGCUGAAUGUGACCU